RNAcentral lists this long non-coding RNA (316 nucleotides) under Eucalyptus grandis. RNAcentral describes it as "long non-coding RNA (EGRA_LNC003105)". Lineage: Eukaryota; Viridiplantae; Streptophyta; Magnoliopsida; Myrtales; Myrtaceae. The record is from RNAcentral.
GAUUGUCGUGGCACAGUUCAUUUAUUUAAUUGAGCUUUAUUUUGUGCUGAAUUGAAUUAUUUGUGAAAUUGGGAAUUAUUCUUUAAUGGAAUAAUCUUUGAUUACUAAUUGGAAAAUAACCGGGUGUCGGUUGACAGCACCAAAAGUGUUUUGGUGGACUACAGAAAAUGUGGGAGUUAUGGAAAUGAAAAUAUUAUAUUUUGGCUAAGGCCGAUCGUGUCCCCACACACGACUAUUUUAUCGAGAAGGAUAACAGAUGGAAUGGAUUGAAUGGUCGGAUAGUAUACUAUAUCAUCCUACGGGCUCUGAUAUGUCA